UGCUCUUCCAAUCUGUGCUCUUUACAACAUACGUGGGUUUUUUUAUGCAUCCGAUUUUGCUUUAAAUGGCUGGAAUCCAGGAAUUUUGGUUUAAUGAUUGAACAGUUAUCCAUGUGAAUGGUUACAUAACAUAACCUCUAUCACUUCUAAAAGCUGCU
Molecule: long non-coding RNA, 158 nt
Organism: Myotis davidii
Lineage: Eukaryota; Metazoa; Chordata; Mammalia; Chiroptera; Vespertilionidae
Exons: 3
Source: RefSeq, a predicted model, not a curated record